CUUUCAUCUAUACUUACGAUUUCUUCAUAUGAAUCAGUAUUGAACUAAAUCAUGUAUCUUUAAAACAACAAAUCAAAUUUAAUUAUUACUCGUAUUUUCGAGGAAAACACAACCUCCCCCAGUUUCUAAAGUCCUCUAUUUCUUCUGCAAUCUAAUCUUAAAAUUUAUAUCGAAUUCCAUGGCUAGCAAGAAUAACAAGAAAGUUAUAACUUGCUAUGCCUACCAUUAUAAUUCCAAACUAAUUUAUUCUACAUGGGAGGUGAAACAAAAUAACACCAAGUUUGAUAGAAUAAUAUGAGAUAUCCAAAAUUAAGUCCGUUUGGUUGACGGAUGAGAUAAAUUUAUACCGUAAACCAAACAUAAUAUAAAUUUAAUACCACACUUUAUCCCACUUUAGAGUACCAAACGACCCGUUAGCACUUGAAGAGUCGAUGCUAUGGCCACUAAAAAGGCAACAUGUACUCAAGAACCUAAUUUUUCUACUCUUUUGUAUGGACCAAAUAUGAAGAUAAGUACUUUGUCCCGUUGAAAAUAAUGAAGAUUAAAAGAGGAAGAGCAGUGUGUUCCAAUAAACUAUUUAACAAUAGUGAGUGUCAGACUUGUUUGUUUCACCUAUUCUUAGUGGUCUGCACAUUUGCAAUACACCUGAGAACUUAUUUUAUUUGAAACGUUUUUCAGUUCAGGGAUAGCAAAGUAGCAACUAAAAAAUCAAUGAGUACACAUAUACCAAACGCGUAGAUAAACCAAAAGGUAUUUAUAAGACAAUUCGACCACCUUAUAAGCUUAGCCAAACACUCUCUAACAACAAAUACUACCCGUGUGCGUUACACCUAUGACCGAACUCCACAUCUAUCACAUCUAUUCUUUCUGUUUCCUUUUCACCCUUCUUCAUUCAUUUCCAACAAAUUCUGCUAAGAUCAUUAAACA
RNAcentral lists this long non-coding RNA (927 nucleotides) under Nicotiana benthamiana. RNAcentral's name for it is "long non-coding RNA (NBEN_LNC015216)". The record is from RNAcentral. Lineage: Eukaryota; Viridiplantae; Streptophyta; Magnoliopsida; Solanales; Solanaceae.